ACCUGGCGGCUGCCUAACGCAUGCNAGUCGUANGGAGAGUGGGGCAACUCACUCUCAGUGGCAAACGGGUGAGUAACGCGUGAAUAACCUGCCUUUGAGAAGGGGAUAACUGUCCGAAAGGAUAGCUAAUACCCUAUAUUGCCUUUUGUCACUAAGGCAAAAGGUGAAAGCGAGGCUGUCAAAGGCUUCGGCUCAAAGAGGGGUUCGCGUCCUAUCAGGUAGUUGGUGGGGUAAUGGCCUACCAAGCCAAUGACGGGUAGCUGGUCUUAGAGGAUGAUCAGCCACAGUGGGACUGAGACACGGCCCGCACCCCUACGGGGGGCAGCAGUGGGGAAUCGUGGGCAAUGGGCGCAAGCCUGACCCCGCAAUGCCGCGUGAGGGAAGAAGCCCUUCGGGGUGUAAACCUCUGUCAGAUGGGAAGAUGGGACUAGGGGCUAAUACCUCCUAGUCUUGACGGUACCAUCAGAGGAAGGGACGGCUAACUACGUGCCAGCAGCCGCGGUAAU
This 506-nucleotide ribosomal RNA is filed under the name uncultured bacterium. RNAcentral's name for it is "bacterial SSU rRNA". It matches the Rfam family "Bacterial small subunit ribosomal RNA", at positions 36 to 524 of the family's 1533-position model. The record is from RNAcentral.